AACGCACGAGACCUGCGGACCUGCGGAAGGAUCAUUAGUGAAAUAACCUGGGACUUUAUGUCCCAAACCAUCUCACAUCUACACACAUCUGUGCACCGUUGGACAGACCUAGAUACUAAGGGCCUUUAAAGGCAUUAGUUUUAUUUCUGGGUUGGGUCCUUUUAAUAUAUAAACGUUGUAUGUAUGUAUGGCAAGUGAUUGAAUAAAUGAAAUUAAAACUUUCAACAACGGAUCUCUAGA
This 240-nucleotide unclassified non-coding RNA is filed under the name soil metagenome. RNAcentral's name for it is "partial contains 5.8S ribosomal RNA, internal transcribed spacer 2, and large subunit ribosomal RNA". The record is from RNAcentral.